Molecule: ribosomal RNA, 258 nt
Filed under: uncultured bacterium
Lineage: Bacteria
Description: partial 16S ribosomal RNA
Rfam family: Bacterial small subunit ribosomal RNA
Source: RNAcentral
AGGGAAGCAAGACCGCGAGGUGGAGCAAAACCCUAAAAAAUGGUCUCAGUUCGGAUUGCAGGCUGCAACCCGCCUGCAUGAAGUUGGAAUUGCUAGUAAUCGCGGAUCAGCAUGCCGCGGUGAAUACGUUCCCUGGCCUUGUACACACCGCCCGUCACACCAUGGGAGCCGGUAAUACCCGAAGUCAGUAGCCUAACCGCAAGGGGGGCGCUGCCGAAGGUAGGAUUGGCGACUGGGGUGAAGUCGUAACAAGGUACC